AGGAUGAACGCUAGCGGCAGGCUUAAUACAUGCAAGUCGAGGGGCAGCAUAGGUAGCAAUACUUGAUGGCGACCGGCAAACGGGUGCGGAACACGUACGCAACCUUCCUUUAAGUGGAGAAUAGCUUUCGGAAACGAAAAUUAAUACUCCGUAAUAUUAUGAGAUGGCAUCAUCUUAUGAUUAUAGAUUUAUCGCUUAAAGAUGGGCGUGCGCCUGAUUAGGUAGUUGGCGGGGUAACGGCCCACCAAGCCUUCGAUCAGUAACUGGCGUGAGAGCGCGACCAGUCACACGGGCACUGAGACACGGGCCCGACUCCUACGGGAGGCAGCAGUAAGGAAUAUUGGUCAAUGGACGCAAGUCUGAACCAGCCAUGCCGCGUGGAGGAUGAAGGUCCUCUGGAUUGUAAACUUCUUUUAUUUGGGACGAAAAAAGAUCAUUCCUGAUCACUUGACGGUACCAGAUGAAUAAGCACCGGCUAACUCCGUGCCAGCAGCCGCGGUAAUACGGAGGGUGCAAGCGUUAUCCGGAUUUACUGGGUUUAAAGGGUGCGCAGGCGGAUAUGUAAGUCAGUGGUGAAAUCUCUAGGCUUAACCUGGAAAUUGCCGUUGAUACUAUAUAUCUUGAAUGCUGUGGAGGUAAGCGGAAUAUGUCAUGUAGCGGUGAAAUGCUUAGAU
This 674-nucleotide ribosomal RNA is filed under the name uncultured soil bacterium. Its description in RNAcentral is "bacterial SSU rRNA". It matches the Rfam family "Bacterial small subunit ribosomal RNA", at positions 26 to 695 of the family's 1533-position model. The record is from RNAcentral.